CAAUAGCGUAUAUUAAAGUUGUUGCAGUUAAAAGCUCGUAGUUGGAUCUCGGGUCCAGGCCUGCGGUCCGCCUCGCGGCGGUUACUGCUCGUCCUGGCCUACCUGCCGGUGUGUCCCUUGGUGCUCUUGAUUGAGUGUCUCGGGCGGCCGGAACGUUUACUUUGAAAAAUUAGAGUGUUCAAAGCAGGCAGCUCGCCUGAAUAAUGGUGCAUGGAAUAAUAGAAAAGGACCUCGGUUCUAUUUUGUUGGUUUCCGGAACUUGAGGUAAUGAUUAAGAGGGACAGACGGGGGCAUUCGUAUUACGGUGUUAGAGGUGAAAUUCUUGGAUCGCCGUAAGACGAACUACUGCGAAAGCAUUUGCCAAGAAUGUUUUCAUUAAUCAAGAACGAAAGUCAGAGGUUCGAAGAUGAUCAGAUACCAU
This 421-nucleotide ribosomal RNA is filed under the name uncultured eukaryote. Its description in RNAcentral is "SSU rRNA". It matches the Rfam family "Eukaryotic small subunit ribosomal RNA", at positions 592 to 1018 of the family's 1831-position model. The record is from RNAcentral.